GACGAACGCUGGCGGCGUGCCUAAUACAUGCAAGUCAACGACUUUUAGAGUAGCAAUAUUCUAAAGGAAGUGGCGCACGGUGAGUAACACGUAGGUAAUCUGCCUUCAGGACUGACACAACUCGUCGAAAGACGGGCUAAUAUCAGAUAAUGCAGCGGCUCCGCAUGGAGACAGUUGUUAAAGUACAAGCGCCUGAAGAUGAGCCCUGCGGUCCAUUAGCUAGUUGGUAGAGUAAAAGCCUACCAAGGCAACGAUGGAUAGCUGGUCUGAGAGGAUGAUCAGCCACACUGGAACUGAGACACGGUCCAGACUCCUACGGGAGGCAGCAGUAAGGAAUAUUGCUCAAUGGCCGAAAGGCUGAAGCAGCAAACGCCGCGUGAAGGAGUGAAUGGCC
This 394-nucleotide ribosomal RNA is filed under the name uncultured bacterium. RNAcentral describes it as "bacterial SSU rRNA". It matches the Rfam family "Bacterial small subunit ribosomal RNA", at positions 28 to 417 of the family's 1533-position model. The record is from RNAcentral.